UCCUUCAUGUCUACUGCCAUACCACGCAAUACCUUCUCCCAUUCUCCAGCGGUUCCGCAUCCCUGCAACACCAAUAGGCUCGCAGCCUUCCGGCUGCUGAUCCUCCAUCAUAGUCUUCGACCCCUCCCCGCACCCCGCUAGCGCGACACCCGCUGCCCCGCUCGCACAUGUAGGUGUUGGUCAGCGUCUAUCUCGCUUAUCCCGCGGCGGAGCUCGCCCGAUCGUUGUCGGUGCCAUGGCCAUCUUGCACAUGGAGCCACCUCCGCCGCCAUCCGCCAGCCUCGGCGACGAGCGCAACCCCGAGUACUAAGAGGCUAUGCGAGGACGAUGAGGCCGAAGAGUCCAAGUUUGUUCCUUGGCCGCCACCCUUCCUCUCGCAUGCGACCACUGUACCAUCUCGCCGCACGAGCACGACACCCCCGCUACCAUCCCUCGAACGACGCCCUAUCCUCGCCUCCGGCUGCCUCCUGAAUCCCCCCACCAUGCCGCCUCACCUCGCCGACUCACUUGCACCUGGCAACCGCCGACGCCGGAUCCCGUCUCCAUGGUCAGCAUCGUCGGUUGCCUCCCGCUGCCCGGCCACUUCCAUCUUCUCAAAGAAGCCGACGGCACUGGGCUCUUGCUGCCACGCACCUCCCCGUGUCCGGCCGGUGGCAGCAUGUCGAAUUGGUCGCCAUACCACCAAGUAGCCAACGGUAACUGCCUGGAGUGCCUUUCUCUGCCCGAAGAUCUCAUUUCCGAUCUGGAUUCUAGCAACUAUGGGGCACAAUAAUCACCGCUUUUGUCUGCAUAACCUUGCCAUUAAUCCAAGUAAGCACUCCUUUUUUGCUUGUUGUAUGUACCCUGUGAUAGUUGCUUGGUUGCUUUUGUUGCUGUUGGCACUGGUUAUCAUGGGAGAGUUGGAGAGAGCACAUGGAUAAGCAGCUCACCCGCUUCCUGAACCAAAAUUUCGAUUUUGCAUGAACGGUUGUUCUCUGUUCUCAAACUUUCUUUUGAUUUUAGGUCUGUAUGUAUGAAUGGUAGUGUUUGCUCGAUGCUGAUUGGUAUAAGGACAGAAGGAUGUAUGUAGCUUUUUCAUCUGUUGGACAAUUGGAUGUUUCACACUAACGUAAUUGAGUGAGGCUUGGUAUUCAGGACAAAGUUAUUAACGAAGGUUGACUUAGCUAGGUCCUGCAGAUGCAAGAUACAGUAUGCGAGACGAUUGGAUUAUCAUUUGCGACAAUGUUAUUGUCAUUAGUGUUCUAGCGGCAUUAUUUAUAGUCCCCGAGGCAUUAUUUAUAGUUCAUAAUUUUUACAUAAAUCAUAAAUCUGAAAUGUUCAAGCAAAAUCAUAUGACUUGUUUAGCUCAGAAAUUGACAGAUGUAGGAAACUAAAUUCUUCCAUGUCCGAGACAUUUCUUUUGAGUUCAGUUUUCUCCAACAUCUUAUUCUUAGGGAUGUCUAAACUGAUAGAGAGCAAUUAACAGCAGAAAUUGUCUCAAGAACCUUAGGAGCUGAAUGUGAGUAAGCUUUGCAUGGAACCAAAUUUUCAGUUAUAAUGGCACAAGAUUUAGUUUCCUCCGGUAUCUCACUCAUGGGCAUAUCUCAUGUACCGGAGCCAUCCACACCGACUGUAUAGGACCAGGCCUCCACUGCUCCGGCGCUUCACCAGGCAGGCGGCCACCAGGGUUAUGUUCUACUCUCCAUCCUUCCUUUCUUCCGCAUCCAUUCCGCUCACUACAUUUUUUUCAUGCAGUGCGAGGAAAUUGGACUAAAGAUGAUGGAUACUAAUGAGGAAGUGGGACAGUGGGAGGAUUGCCGAAGCUGGCCAAGCAAAAGGGCCCUGCAUCGAGGUUGAUGGAGACGAUUGAGCUACUCGCCGAUUAUUGGUAACAAUGUAGAGAAGCUCUAUCAAAUUGCCUUGUUUGGAGCAGAACCAUAGGGUUCAGGUUGCAGCUCACUGUGCAGUUAAGAUCAUAGGGUCAAAAAUUCCACGUGAACUCUUUAGUUCAUAUCGUCUUUACUACCAGCUUGGUUAAAUUUUCUUUGGGAUACCAGCUUGGUUAAUUGUUGCCCUAUCUUUCAUAUAAUUGAGCCCAUAGGUGGUACCGACAAUGCUAUAGAUGUUUAUUUUGUUUUA
Molecule: long non-coding RNA, 2118 nt
Organism: Aegilops tauschii subsp. strangulata
Lineage: Eukaryota; Viridiplantae; Streptophyta; Magnoliopsida; Poales; Poaceae
Source: RefSeq, a predicted model, not a curated record